GAGAUUCCGAAAGUAGCGGCGAGCGAAAUCGGAUUAGCCCUUAAGCUUUAGUGUAGUUAGUGGAACAUUCUGGAAAGUUUGACGAUACAGGGUGACAGUCCCGUACACAAAAACUUAUCUAAAGUGAAAUCGAGUAGGUCGGAGCACGUGAAACUUUGACUGAAUAUAGGUGGACCAUCAUCUAAGGCUAAAUACUCCCAACUGACCGAUAGUGAACCAGUACCGUGAGGGAAAGGUGAAAAGCACCCCGGGAGGGGAGUGAAAUAGAACCUGAAACCGUGUGCCUACAACAAGUUCGAGCCCGUUAAUGGGUGAGAGCGUGCCUUUUGUAGAAUGAACCGGCGAGUUACGUUAUGAUGCGAGGUUAAGUUGAAGAGACGGAGCCGUAGGGAAACCGAGUCUUAAUAGGGCGCAUUAGUAUCAUGUCGUAGACCCGAAACCAUGU
RNAcentral lists this ribosomal RNA (445 nucleotides) under uncultured Symbiodinium. RNAcentral describes it as "partial Bacterial large subunit ribosomal RNA". It matches the Rfam family "Bacterial large subunit ribosomal RNA", at positions 231 to 726 of the family's 2925-position model. The record is from RNAcentral. Lineage: Eukaryota; Dinophyceae; Suessiales; Symbiodiniaceae.